GGUGGUUCUUGGGUAACGCACCCCAGAAUUGGGCUCCCUCCUCUCUGGUUCUGGGUGCACCACCCGAGAACCACA
This is a non-coding RNA of Myotis lucifugus (little brown bat), 75 nucleotides long. The record is from Rfam. NCBI's taxonomy places the organism in Eukaryota, Metazoa, Chordata, Mammalia, Chiroptera, Vespertilionidae.